This is an RNA transcript of Abrus precatorius (Indian licorice), 3387 nucleotides long. It is a transcript of the gene named serine/threonine-protein kinase STN8, chloroplastic-like, with no coding region annotated. The record is from RefSeq and is a predicted model, not a curated record. The transcript has 6 exons. NCBI's taxonomy places the organism in Eukaryota, Viridiplantae, Streptophyta, Magnoliopsida, Fabales, Fabaceae.
GAAAAAGGGAAGCAGUGAGCGGAUAAAAUGAGGAGUGAGGAAGAACAUGUGGAAAAAGAGCAACCUCUGAUGAUGCUAUUAGAAACAAGAAGAAAAAUUGAGUUGGGAACAUAGGCAUUGUUUGGCUUUGGAAUGAAUGUGAUAAUGGCUUCUCUGCUCCCUCCAACUCCAACUGCUACUUGUACACUUAAACAAAGUCAAAUGGGAAUUUGCUUCUCUCCCUUGAAACCCACCACCUCAAAUAAUGUUUCUUUCUUAUCAAACCAGCGCUUCAAGAGCAACUCUUCACAGUGUAAUGCAUUUUAUGAUGAUGUGGCCAAAGGUUUGUUGGAGGGCAGUGUUAGUUUGGAGCAGUUUGCUGGUUUUCUCCAAUCAGGAAAAGUGCAAUUUGAGAGAGUAACUGAAAAUUUAUCAGAGAUGCAGAAGUGGGGGUUUCUCAUGUUUGGUGGGUUGACAUGGAUUUACUUAACUGCAAGGCCAGGUGUUCUUGUUGGUGCCAUUGAUGCCUACCUUUUGGCUCCUCUUCAACUUGGUUUGGACAGUUUAUCUGGAAGGAGAAACUUGAAGAGGAGUGAUUUUCUGAUUGGUGAUAAGCUUGGUGAAGGGUCAUUUGGUGUUGUCUAUUCGGGUGUUUUGGUCCCAAAGAAUGUGAAUGUGAAUGUGGAAGAGAGGGUGCAGAAGAGGGGGAGAGCUAAGGCAUCACAGUUGGAUGCCAAAUCUACGGAUAAAGUCAUUCUUAAAAAGGUUAAGGUUGGAAUCCAAGGGGCUGAAGAAUUUGGUGAUUAUGAGGAGUGGUUCAAUUACAGGAUAUCUAGAGCAGCACCUGAAACAUCUGCCGAGUUCCUUGGCAGUUUUGUAGCUGAUAAAACAAAUACACAGUUCACAAAAGGUGGAAAAUGGCUUGUUUGGAAGUUUGAGGGAGAUCGUACUCUUGCUGAUUACAUGAAGGAUCGCAACUUUCCUUCAAACUUAGAAUCUGUCAUGUUUGGACGUGUCUUGCAAGGUGUAGACUCUUUGAAACGAAAUGCUUUGAUCAUCAAGCAAAUAAUGCGCCAGAUCAUUACGUCUCUUAGGAAAAUUCAUGAUACAGGCAUUGUUCACAGGGAUGUAAAGCCAGCCAACUUAGUGGUUACUAAAAGGGGGCAGAUUAAACUCAUUGAUUUUGGUGCAGCAACAGACCUGCGGAUUGGCAAGAAUUAUGUUGCCAACGUCACCCUUUUUGAUCCUGACUAUUGCCCCCCAGAAUUAUAUGUACUCCCAGAAGAAACUCCAAGUCCUCCACCAGAACCAAUUGCUGCUUUCCUUUCACCAAUCCUGUGGCAGUUAAACAGCCCUGAUUUGUUUGAUAUGUAUUCGGCUGGGAUUGUUCUCCUGCAAAUGGCAAUACCAACCUUAAGGUCUCAAGCUGCUUUGAAGAAUUUCAACCUGGAAAUUAAAACCUGCGGAUAUGAUUUGAAAAAAUGGAGGGACUAUACUCGCCUCAGGCCUGGCGACUUCCAAAUUCUAGAUAUCGAAUCUGGGAGAGGGUGGGACUUAGCAACAAAGCUUGUAUCUGAGAGAGGUUCCAUUAGAAGAGGACGUUUAUCUGCUGCUGCUGCUUUGAGACAUCCUUAUUUUCUUCUGGGUGGUGAUCAGGCAGCUGCAGUCCUUUCAAAAUUAAGCUUAAGCAGAAAGUGAUCUGCAUAGCAAUGAGCACAUUUGAAUUCAAAGGUGUCCCACAGCAAGCGUGCCUAACUUGUGAAUUGACGACCAUCAUUUAUAAGAUUUAUUCCAAUUUUUUUCUGUGUUUGGGUUUUCCCCCCUCAGUUUAAAUUGGUGGGAGAUUUUCUACUCAAUUUCAGGCAAGCAACAAGCCUGAGGACAUUUGAAGGAUACAGAACGAAAAAUUAUUGCUACAGUAUACAUUUAUAUCUUUCAUGUAACCUAUAUGACAACAAUUUCUAGCAGGAGCACAUAAUGGUUGUAAUAGCUUAUUCAAUCUUCUCCCAUGGUUUCUUUCUACAAGAGAUGAAUGCUUGAUGAUUGGCAGGACCUCACCUGUAAUACCAUAACUUCGGGUCUAUGGCUUGUAACAUGAUAUAGAGCCAAGUGGAGCUGCAUUCUAGUGACACUUAUUGGAUGAAAGUUACAUACUUACAUCCUAGAUGAGAUUGUGUAUUCAGUUCCAUAUAACUCGUCAAUUGAGAAGUAUUCUUGUAUGAAAUCUAGCUUCUUAUGGAUUUCAAAAAGUUGUUGUCAAAAACGACGUUCUUCAUACCAAAAAUACUAGCUUAUUUUACAUAUGGACACAAAUGUCAGAACAUACAAAAUAAAACUAUUGGCAUCAAUACAAACAGAAUACCAUGGUGAAUCCUCAUAUUUAUCUUCUCUCUCUGCCUUUCUAUGUAGUAUCAUUUUCAAUCUGAAGUUAAUACCCUUGCAUCCACCGCAAAAGAGACAUGCAUGCUUUUACAUGGCUAUAGUUGGCAACUUUGCACAUAUGGUGUUAGAGUUCAUCGUGAUAGAGUACUUUUUCCAACACAUUUUUCUUUUUACAACCCCAACGGCAUGUCUUAGAGCACAAGGAGUUGAAUAGGGCAAGCCUUGUGGAUUGAAGGGAUAUUAUGCUUGACGUGGAAGGUGAUUUUGAGAGAACAAUUGCAUACCCAUCAUCCAUGUAAUCCGUUCCAUCAGGAAAGAGCUGCCACACAAGGCUUCCAGCCCCGCUUCCUCCUUUCUUUGUAGAGUUUAGGAUGGUCUUGUACACGGUGUUUAUAAGGGUGUCUCUAUAUGUUGAAUUGUAGCCAGGAGCUUUUGCAGAUACACCAAACUCAGAAAAAACCACAGGCAUUCCGAGAUACUUUUCAGCAUCCUCUAUGUGUGCUUCCAUCCAAGACUUUAUAAAUGGGAGAUGGGAAUCAGCAAUUGAUUGUGAAAUCCUUCAACAGCAUAAAUUUUGGAGGGGCAAACCUGUAAGAUAUCACCUGACGGGUCUGAGUUGCAUCGAGGCUCAUUCAUCAGUUCCCAAGCGAAAAUUGUUGGAUCUUCCUUGUAAGUGAUAUUUGUGAAUGUAUUAACUCUAUUUAGCACCGUCUACACAGUGAAAAUAAUACUGUAAUCCAAUUAGUUUAGAAGAAUCAAAGUUCAAUAUGUAUUAAUAUUUGGGUGGUUGAGCAUUGUAGCACAUCACAAACAAGAUUCAAUUCCAAUAUGCACAAAUUCAAGUGAUGGAUUGGAAUAAACUUACCUUAACAUGAGCCUUGUAGUAGCCUCUUAGAGUUGGAUGUGAGAAGAAGUCAUCAUCUGAGGUCAAAUUAAGGCCAGCUGCAUUGCCCCACUUCACAUACUGUUGUUUUCCACCAUAAGCUUCCCAGUUGUUGACCAAUGAUAAUAUGACCCUGAUUUUGU